UCUGGGAUACCUGAACAUUGAGUACAUGACAACUAAAACUAAAAAUGGGCAUAAUUGAUUACUUGAAGGCCUUGGAUUCUACCUUCAUUUCAUUUCCUAUCCCAUGUAGAUAUAUAGUUAAGUGUUCACAUGAUUAAAAAUUAAUUAGUUAUGGGAAAAAGAGAUACAAAGUAUUGAGUUAAUUACAUAUUAGAUAAUGGUUCUCUAAAAAUCAUGAUCUGUAGAAGGAGAGGAGAGAUUUUCUUAACCUUAGAAAAAGAGAACUCUGUAGCAAUAAUAAAGUUAAAGAAUUAUAUGAUCAUGGAAAUAAUAUGUUCUAGAACUGUGACUUUGGGGAAAAGAUUCUCCUGUCAUGAUGACUAGAUAGUGUAUAUGGUAUUGCCAGUUGCA
RNAcentral lists this long non-coding RNA (390 nucleotides) under Bos taurus (domestic cattle). RNAcentral's name for it is "long non-coding RNA NONBTAT019857". Lineage: Eukaryota; Metazoa; Chordata; Mammalia; Artiodactyla; Bovidae. The record is from RNAcentral.